This 417-nucleotide ribosomal RNA is filed under the name uncultured eukaryote. RNAcentral describes it as "SSU rRNA". It matches the Rfam family "Eukaryotic small subunit ribosomal RNA", at positions 592 to 1018 of the family's 1831-position model. The record is from RNAcentral.
CAAUAGCGUAUAUUAAAGUUGUUGCAGUUAAAAAGCUCGUAGUUGGAUUUCUGGCCGAGUGUCCCUAGGCCAGCAUGACGUUUGGUCCUAGGCGCUCUGCCAUCCUUCUGUCAACCUUCGCCUUCUUCAUUGGGGGCGCUGGGGCUCAGAUAUUUUACCUUGAGAAAAUUAGAGUGUUUCAGGCAGGCUUUCGCCGGAAUACAUUAGCAUGGAAUAAUGGAAAAGGACUUCAACCUCUUCUGUUGGUCUGAGAGGCUGUAGUAAUGAUUAAUAGGGAUAGUUGGGGGCAUUAGUACUUAACUGUCAGAGGUGAAAUUCUCCGAUUUGUUAAAGACUAACUUAUGCGAAAGCAUUUGCCAAGGAUGUUUUCAUUAAUCAAGAACGAAAGUUAGGGGAUCAAAGACGAUCAGAUACCAU